UACGUAGGGUGCAAGCGUUGUCCGGAAUUAUUGGGCGUAAAGAGCUUGUAGGCGGUUUGUCGCGUCUGCUGUGAAAUUUCGGGGCUCAACCCCGAACUUGCAGUGGGUACGGGCAGACUAGAGUGUGGUAGGGGAGACUGGAAUUCCUGGUGUAGCGGUGAAAUGCGCAGAUAUCAGGAGGAACACCGGUGGCGAAGGCGGGUCUCUGGGCCGAUACUGACGCUGAGGAGCGAAAGCGUGGGGAGCGAGCAGG
Molecule: ribosomal RNA, 253 nt
Filed under: uncultured bacterium
Lineage: Bacteria
Description: partial 16S ribosomal RNA
Rfam family: Bacterial small subunit ribosomal RNA
Source: RNAcentral